Molecule: long non-coding RNA, 560 nt
Organism: Passer montanus (Eurasian tree sparrow)
Lineage: Eukaryota; Metazoa; Chordata; Aves; Passeriformes; Passeridae
Exons: 3
Source: RefSeq, a predicted model, not a curated record
CUUGGAGUGGGUGUCCAGUACCUCGGAGAGUGGCGGGGACAUGGAGGGGACACCCAGUUUCCUAGAGAGAGCGCCAGGAUCCCCUGAGGUGCUGAUGCUGGGACUCACCAGGAGUGUGCGCUUCUCCCGGGCAGUACAAACACCCGUGAGCCCCUCUGACAAACGCUGGAGGACACUCAGACCAGCUGGCUUUGGGAAGGUGGGACAUCAGGAAGGACUUGCCACCUGCCUGCAGAGCCUGCAAACCCCAGCGUGGUCUCUUCCUUCCAGCAGAAGCAUCCCUGGAUGUCAGUAAAUCCCAGCAGGUUUUUAACACCAGUGGACUUCUCUGAGAGCUGCAGGUGGCUGGGUGAGAGCUGAGCCCUCAACUAUCAGCUCAAGCUGCUGAAAACAACCAGGGCUCCAUGACACUGAAGAGCUGAAUCCAUCCCAGAUCCUGGACUGACAACACAUUAAUAAACUGUUAAGAGUUUAUCAAUUUAAAGCAAAUUCUUUAAAGUCAGCAGAAACUGACUUUCAAUGUACUCUUUCAACACAUGCAAAAUGGAAGGGAAAUAAAA